AGAUGUGAAGGUCAUCUGGUUUUGACAUCUCUCACAUCAUUGGCCACUAAGGCUUGAUGCUGCUGAUUUGGCUGGCUAGGAGGGUAUUCCAUUUGUCCUUCACUGCUCCAUAAGUGUCUGCCUGAAGCUGCACAUUCAAUGGAAUGGACAGCCAUGUCAGAUAGGAGUGUAUCAUUCCUCCGUCAAAGGUACUCAGGGGCUUUGCAAUUUGAAGACAGAUGUUGUGUUUUC
This 231-nucleotide small nuclear RNA is filed under the name Pogona vitticeps (central bearded dragon). RNAcentral describes it as "7SK RNA (ENSPVIG00000016787.1)". The stretch from base 1 to 197 matches the Rfam family "7SK RNA". Rfam says of the family: 7SK was discovered as an abundant small nuclear RNA in the mid-70s but a possible function has only recently been suggested. Two independent studies have found that 7SK RNA binds the CDK9/cyclin T complex (known as elongation factor P-TEFb). Lineage: Eukaryota; Metazoa; Chordata; Lepidosauria; Squamata; Agamidae. The record is from RNAcentral.